Molecule: ribosomal RNA, 1173 nt
Filed under: human gut metagenome
Description: bacterial LSU rRNA
Rfam family: Bacterial large subunit ribosomal RNA
Source: RNAcentral
GCCAUCCUUCAAAGAAAGCGUAAUAGCUCACUGAUCGAGUCCUCAUGCGCGGAAGAUGUAACGGGGCUAAGCUGUUAACCGAAAGCGCGGAUUUCCAAGCAAUUGGAAGUGGUAGGGGAGCGUUCUGUAAGCCGACGAAGGUGAUUCGUAAGGAUUGCUGGAGGUAUCAGAAGUGCGAAUGCUGACAUGAGUAACGAUAAAGCGGGUGAAAAGCCCGCUCGCCGUAAGCCCAAGGUUUCCUGCUCUACGUUCAUCGGAGCAGGGUGAGUCGGCCCCUAAGGCCAGGCUGAGAAGCGUAGUCGAUGGGAAGCUGAUUAAUAUUUCAGCACCACUGUUGAGUGCGAAGGGGGGACGGAGUUUUGCAAGUAAUCCGGGUGUUGGAUGUCCCGGUUGGCGAGCGUAGGAGGUGAGCAGGCAAAUCCGCUCACGCAUCUCCGAGACGAAGCCUCGAGGUCCUUUAGGACUGAAGUUACCGAAUGAACUUCCAGGAAAAGCCUCUAAGCUCCAGCUCAACGGUGACCGUACCGUAAACCGACACAGGUGGGCGAGUUGAAUAUACUCAGGCGCUUGAGAGAACUCGGGAGAAGGAACUCGGCAAAUUGACACCGUAACUUCGGGAUAAGGUGUGCCUUGGUAGCGUGAAAGGAGAAACUCCCCAAGCGCGAAGAGGUCACAGAAAAUAGGGGGCUGCGACUGUUUACUAAAAACACAGCACUCUGCAAAGACGAAAGUCGACGUAUAGGGUGUGAUGCCUGCCCGGUGCCGGAAGAUUAAGUGAUGGGGUGAGAGCUCCUGAUCGAAGUCCCGGUAAACGGCGGCCGUAACUAUAACGGUCCUAAGGUAGCGAAAUUCCUUGUCGGGUAAGUUCCGACCUGCACGAAUGGCAUAACGAUGGCCCCACUGUCUCCUCCCGAGACUCAGUGAAGUUGAAAUGUUUGUGAUGAUGCAAUCUCCCCGCGGCUAGACGGAAAGACCCCAUGAACCUUUACUGCAGCUUUGCAUUGGACUUUGAACCGAUCUGUGUAGGAUAGGCGGGAGGCAAUGAAACUUUGACGCCAGUCAGAGUGGAGCCGACGUUGAAAUACCGCCCUGAUUUGUUUGAGGUUCUAACCGCAGACAGUGAGCCUGUCUCGGGACCGUGCAUGGUAGGCAGUUUGACUGGGGCGGUCUCCU